RNAcentral lists this ribosomal RNA (468 nucleotides) under uncultured bacterium. RNAcentral describes it as "partial 16S ribosomal RNA". It matches the Rfam family "Bacterial small subunit ribosomal RNA", at positions 28 to 507 of the family's 1533-position model. The record is from RNAcentral.
GACGAACGCUGGCGGCGUGCUUAACACAUGCAAGUCGAACGGAAAGGCCCUGCUUUUGUGGGGUGCUCGAGUGGCGAACGGGUGAGUAACACGUGAGUAACCUGCCCUUGACUUUGGGAUAACUUCAGGAAACUGGGGCUAAUACCGGAUAGGAGCUCCUGCUGCAUGGUGGGGGUUGGAAAGUUUCGGCGGUUGGGGAUGGACUCGCGGCUAAUCAGCUUGUUGGUGGGGUAGUGGCUUACCAAGGCUUUGACGGGUAGCCGGCCUGAGAGGGUGACCGGCCACAUUGGGACUGAGAUACGGCCCAGACUCGUACGGGAGGCAGAAGUGGGGAAUCUUGCACAAUGAGCGGAAGCCUGAUGCAGCAACGCCGCGUGCGGGAUGACGGCCUUCGGGUUGUAAACCGCUUUCGCCUGUGACGAAGCGUGAGUGACGGUAAUGGGUAAAGAAGCACCGGCUAACUACGUG